GUCCGCCUGGACGCCCAGGGGGGUCUUGUCAGCGGCCCCCCCACAGCUCCGGUUCUGGAACUACUUCCUCCGUUGAAUAAGGAGUGGAGGGACGGUCUUUAGUCCUAUAUGUGCCAGCAGACAGGCAAGGCAGUCCAAUAAGCCUAAACCCUUCCAGCCUUCACCUAUACCCCAGUCUUCAGGAUGACUGUUGUUCCAAGAAGACAGGAGUGGACUUGCUGGACAUAGUUCUGCUCCAGACUGGCACCAGUUGACUGGCACCACACGACUGGCCCCACUGUCCCUCAUCAACCAACUUAUCAUUUUGAAU
This is a long non-coding RNA of Engraulis encrasicolus (European anchovy), 310 nucleotides long. RefSeq lists it as uncharacterized. The record is from RefSeq and is a predicted model, not a curated record. Lineage: Eukaryota; Metazoa; Chordata; Actinopteri; Clupeiformes; Engraulidae. The transcript has 3 exons.